This 494-nucleotide ribosomal RNA is filed under the name uncultured bacterium. RNAcentral describes it as "partial 16S ribosomal RNA". It matches the Rfam family "Bacterial small subunit ribosomal RNA", at positions 28 to 507 of the family's 1533-position model. The record is from RNAcentral.
GACGAACGCUGGCGGCGUGCCUAAUACAUGCAAGUAGAACGCUGAAGGAGGAGCUUGCUUCUCUGGAUGAGUUGCGAACGGGUGAGUAACGCGUAGGUAACCUGCCUGGUAGCGGGGGAUAACUAUUGGAAACGAUAGCUAAUACCGCAUAAUAGUAGAUGUUGCAUGACAUUUGCUUAAAAGGUGCAAUUGCAUCACUACCAGAUGGACCUGCGUUGUAUUAGCUAGUUGGUGAGGUAACGGCUCACCAAGGCGACGAUACAUAGCCGACCGGAGAGGGGGAUCGGCCACACUGGGACUGAGACACGGCCAAGACUCCUACGGGAGGCAGCAGUAGGGAAUCUUCGGCAAUGGACGGAAGUCUGACGGAGUAACGCCGCGUGAGUGAAGAAGGUUUUCGGAUCGUAAGACUCUGUUGUUAGAGAAGACCAAGUGCUAGAGUAACUGUUAGCGCCUUGACGGUAUCUAACCAGAAAGCCACGGCUAACUACGUG